GAUUCAAAUGCUCCUGGGACCUCCGAGGCUUCCUGGUCAUUCUGUAGCUGCUGGAUUUGUUUUCACCUUGCAAAAUGGAUUGAAGUGCUUUUCACCAGAACUCCUCGCCCUUCUGCACGGGGAUCGAAGAGCUACGCUCCUUGGUUUGUGUGACAGAAUGACCGCAGGUGCUGUAAGAAAGCAGGAAAUCAUCUUUGUAAAGCUGUCCAGAAAGCCUUGAAUUCAGGUACAAGCCUCAUGUUUAUAGGAACAUAAAAGGAACCAUGGAAACUAAAUAUAGGUCGGAGCACCCGCAAGUAGAAAAAGAAUCAGGGAUUGAAAAGUUACCCAGAUUUCUCUGCCUUUGGGUUUGCUCUGCUGGUUUCAGACUCGUUUGGGGUCCUAGGCUCUGUAGGAGUCUUUGGGAUCCAUGUAAAGAAGGAAUUUCUGGGGAAAGCAGCUGACAAAAGAUCUCAUUUAAAUCCUGGCUGUGCUUUGGUCCUUGGGCUUAUCGUUGAGGGCUUGUUCCACCAGGGUCCCAUGCUGUUCGGUCCUAAGUGAGCUGCUGCUGGUUGUGGUGUUCCUGUUGAGCCCCAGGAGAGGUCAGAUACCCGGAGAGGAUUUGAGAGCUUUACAUGUGUUGUUGACCUGGACCCUUACACUUUGCUCCCUCCUGUUCCCUUAUCUAGAGGAUUAUCCCACGGAGUGCUUCGUGCCCUCCUGGGCUCUUAGCAGAGAUUCAGCUCCUCUGCAGUCCCCAGCUUCAUCACAGGAAGCUUCUUCACCUCGCUGCUGCCAGCAUGCUUUUGGCGACCCUGAGUGUCCCGUCAGCUGUUACAGGCCAUUAAAGGAUUUGUUUCUCGGCGUAUGAAAAGGCUUAAUUCAAUUCUCAUUCUCUCCUGGCAUUCCUCAGAGGUGAGUGCGUCCCCUCGGCACGAAUCCUCCGAUGCCGCUAAUUGACUUGAAAGUAGCUCAUGUCUCCUUGGAAAUGUCACCCAGCCCUUUUCAAGUGCAAUUCCAGGCAAUCAGGAUCAAUAUGUUGCUUUAGCUAAGGGUAUUAGCACAUGACUGACAGCCCUGCGACAUUAGCUUAUUCAUAUGGACUUCCAGAUGCUCAUUUUUCUUCGCUGCCUCAGCUGCAAUCCCAGUAAGAGGGGACAGAGCUUGGAGUGGAGCCAUUACCUGGGCUGUGUUUGUUCACAGCACGAUGGUGGGUACGGUGCUGGCUCUUGCACACCUGCCCUAAACCUACACAGUGUUCCCAUCCCUCUCCUUCCUGGUGAGAUCAAACCGUGCUGCCCCAUCCACUUGUUCCUUGUGUCAUGGCCUUGAGAUGUUUCCGAGCGGCAGGGGCUGAGUUUUCAGCCUGUGUUAAUCAGCGUGGUGCUUUGUUUGAUACGAGACAAGGUGUUGGUGUAUUUUUGCUGUACCUUUGCACAGAGAAUAUUGUCAGUGCAAUUAUCCCUCCUCAGAUCUCUAUCCCUUUGUGCUCCUCUUGAGGCUUGGGUCCACAGCUGAAGAUUUCUCUUGCUUCCCUUGUUGUGUGGUGAUGGUCCUGUGGUCCUGGCGUUAUUUUGAGCCAACGUUUGGGUUUCUGAUUUCUGUCUUUCAGCAAGUACCCAUUGUUCCCCUUUGUCUCAAAAAUGUCUGCGAAUUUGUCUUCCCAGCAGCUCUGUGAGGAAGGGGAGUGCUGCUCUCUCUGCUUAGAGGUAGGUGGUGAAAGCAGCGGUAAAAGGAAUUGAGAGGAGCUUACAAAAGAACUCGAGGCAGUGCUUCUGUGAGUGAAUUCAAUAUGGGCCCAAGUGCCCUCUGCUCUUCUUGCCCUCUUUAACGAGGCUGGCACAGCUAAUGUCAUUGCACUGCUCCUCUCUGGGGACAGCUCGCACCCCUUCUGUACCCAGCCAUGCCUCUUUGCUUGGGAGGGAGAGGGAACCUUAUCCCCUGGUUCAGGAAACCCUGACCCAGGGAACAUAGCAGCAAUAUUCAGAAGCAGGUUAAAGAAUAUUUCAGGUUUUUCAAAGGAAGAAACUGAGAUGCUGGGAAGCCAAGUGCCAUGUCCUAAGUGAGACGGUGUUUCUCAGAAGCGAUUCCUCCGAGUGCCUGCCUCGCGGCUGUUGGUACUCCCAGCUCUCGAGAAGAGCUGCUCCCUGGCAUCAGAGCAGGUUGGAGCCGCAAGGAAGAAACCUGAAGUUAGCUCCCAAGUGGCAAAUAUUAACAGAUGUGGGAACGAGGUGUGCUGUGCUGGAGGACUGGGAAAACUUGGAGGGGCUUCUGUGCCAUGCUGUGACUUUGAGCAUCUCCCUUGCAGGGCUGGUGAAGGCACGCGGUGUACUGCAGUCUGGGGCUCGAAGCUGCUGCAGAGCCAGAGGUGGGGAAUCUGUGUCAGGGAGCUUCUGAGAACAUGUUCCCAAAAGACACAUCAAGAGAUAAACAAGCAAGACUGGAAAACUACUUUUAAUCUGUGAUGCUGCCUGGAUACCUGCAGAUGUCUCGCUGAAUGCUGUGCCCUUUGAAAUUCGUCAGGGUAGUCAGGAAGGGGUUAACAUGUUUGCCCUGUGAAACAGCCAGAACGAGUGCAUCCGAAACUCUGGCAAUCAGAGGCAAGCAACAAUUAUUAACGCCUCGGCAUUUAAUGUGGCAGAUCGCUUCCGCCCCCAGUUACAUCGUGUGUUCAAUUCCAGAGCACUCGGAGUUGUCAGUCAGCAGGUCCAUAGAUCAUGGCGACCUUAGCAUCAUGUCAAGGGGCUUCACUCCAUCAGGGAUAAUGAACAUCUCCCACCGGUUUCUUCCCAUCAUUCAUUUGAGAUCCAGAAGUUCAUCAUGCAAAUGACAAACAAUGUUAAUUUUCUGCAAAUAAUUCCUCCAGAUGUCCGUGGGACUCCAGCGCUCCUCGCCCAGAACAGUAAAAUAUGUUUGUCUUCCUCCCUAUAAUUCAUCACUAGGCCUGCAAAUCUCCACGAACUCUCUAUAAACAAAGCAGGAGGCAGAGCACAGAGCCUGAUAGUUCGCUGCAGUGCAGACGUGCCUCGUGCUCUCUCAGCAAUGCACGUGGGAGAAGGAGUGGAGAGGUGGAAGAGGUCAAGAAGUUUCUUCUCAGCUGAGUUGACUUUGUGCUCAGCCUUGCAAAUGUACGCGUGAUGGUCUGAGCCAAGCCUCACACAAAUGCGAGUCAACGUGAGAGGAGAAACUCGAAUAUUUCUGGACUUAAAACGACUGGCCUUCAGGAACAGCUGGAUCUCCAGUGAAACCUGCUGCGAGCCUUAUCUGCGUCACUAGGAGACUUGCCAUCGGAUGGCGAGGCUUUGCCGUGGCUCUGUAUUGAGCUGCUCUCGGAUGGGUAGUGAGGCAAAUAGGCAGAGCUUGCUUGGUUUCUCCAAGCAUCUCUCCAGCUCCCUGAGCUCCAGAUCCAGCCAAAAAUAUAUGAAGAGCUGAAAUCCAGGGUGGUUUGGGCUACAGAGCAUAAGAAAGAGUUUUGGCUUGGACAAGUACGAAGAUGACGCAGAAAUUAGUUCCAGCAAGUACAUCUGGAACAGGGCAGACCCAUGAUGAAGCAGCCAACAAAACAGUUGUUGGUUUUUUUGUUUUUUUUUGUUUUUUUUUUACUCACAAGAUGUCAGCGGGCAGGUAGGACAAAAAUACCAAGAGGAUGGUGCAAAUCCAGAUCCAAAGCUCAGGAGAUGCUGUAUGCGCCCAGAUUUGCCACUCCUGCCCCUACUCCUGCCAGCCAUUAAAUGGCAUGGACCCGCUCCCUCCCCUGCUGUCCUUCUCACUCUGGAAGGGUUUUUAAAGGUCCCUCUAAGCGGCAGCUGCUGUGUGGCUUUUUGUUUUUUGUUUUUCUUUUUUUUUUUUUUUAUGAUGAGCUGGAAAUUAAUUUCCUUUUUGCUGGCAUUGGACUAUCUGUUCCCACGUCGCAGUGCAGAAUGAGCUCGUAACUCUCUUGACUGCCUCAUGGCUGAGUUAUGGGGUCUUCUGUAGUGCAGCCCAAAGGGUUUAAUUUAAGUACGGGUGUCUUGAAGAAAGCAGAGAAGUGACAACUACCUAGUGCUUUUGCAGUCCAUACACUUGGAAACUUUUACUACUCCUGGACUGAAAGGGCUCUUGUUUUAAAUUAAAAUUAGGAUUUCUUGUCCUUCCCACAGCAGUGCUAGGAACAGGUUUUCCCCCUAUUUCCUUUUUGCUUGUUGGGAGAUGUAACCACGUCUUCAGCUUUCCGUCUUCCCUUGCCAACAGUCUCCUACAGAUUUCCAGUUGCUGUUGUCUGUCUCCUUUGGACUGUCUCCAGUUGUUCAUAUGGUCUUGGAGCUCAGCAUCCCAAGCAGGACAUUAUGCUCCAGCUGAGACCUGAGCAGCGCAGAAGACGUGCGAGGAUAAUCCAGACCACUUACGCGUGACAUCUUCGUCUGCUUUGAUCUUGGUUGCCCUUGGCAUGAUCUUGAACUUGUUUUGGGGCAAGUGGGGUGAAGUGCUUUGGUUACUGUCUGGGCCACCUGUUGGUGGCACCUCAUUGCCACACAUGGGCACUAAUAAGACCAUCUGCUGCAGGAACCCGUGCCUCGCAUCAGGGAUGCUCGGGUGAGCUAAUAGGAACGGACAAAAGACACAGCCUGCUUGCGGGACCCGAUGGUCAUUAACCCCUCUGUGGAUGUUCUCCAUGUAGGCUACUUCGUGAGACUGUUUGCAGGGCGCUUUAAUAGGCGUGCAAUGCCUAUUAAUAUGCAACCUGUGUUGAGUCACACCUUAGCUGAUUCGCCUUAGCUUUCCCAGCUGUCUGCUUGCUGACAGAUUGGUGCAGUGUGGGCAGCUUGUCUGGCAAGUCUAGAGGCUGGAAGAGCAACCAGUAACUUGGAUUUAACCCUUCUUGCUAAAUGCAUUGCUGUCUCUCACCUCCCUGAGGCUAGGACUAACAGAAUUGGCAAGUGAUCCCUUAUCCUUGCUUUCUUAUCUCUUAUAUACCUUAUCUUUUGCCUUCUGCAGGCUCCAUGCUGUCAGCUCUAUGCUUCCCGAUGGCCUUUGGCUCUUCACAAACAGCAGAGGCUAACUGCAGGUCCAGGACUUCCUCAAAAUCUGUCCUGGCCUGGCUGUGGGUGGCAAGAGUUGCUGGCAAGCUCUGCCUGGAUGGUCCCCCAGACCUGCAGGACUUGGGGCCAGGCCCUGGAUGUGACACCAGGGGCUUUGCUGCCUCUUUGGUGUUCUUUCUGUAUGGGGGAAAUUAGUGGAGUUGUGUCCGCUGGAGCACUCGUCUACUCCACAGAGAAGUGGAGGAGCCAUGGGGGAAGAAACAAACUCCUCAUCUCAUCCUUAGCUCUGUCUUUUUGUGCUUUCUACUUACAGCUAUCAUAACUACCAGAUUUCUUUUUUUUUUUUUUUUUUUUUUUUUCUCGCAGCCCUUCUUUGCUCCCCUUAUUGAGCAAUAGCAUCUUAACAGCACUCUCCUAUGGCUUUGUCCCUAAUGUGACAGCAUCUAAUCCUGCAUCGUUUGUUCAGCUGAGUGGGUCACUGGUUUUACUGCUUGCGUGAAGGACAGGGUAAAGAUCCAAAUGCAGUUCAGGGGUUGGGCUGUCUUGGGCUCUUCUGAGAGGAGGACUUUAUUUUUACCAGCUUUGGCAUGCCUUGACUUUGGGGUGUGGAAAGCAAAAGUGAGCUGUGUGGCUGUGGAACAGGAUGGCAGAAACAGUCAUAAGCAGGACAGGACUUGAUCCUGGCUUGCCUGGCUAACCCAGCUGGAGCCAGUAAUGAGGGCAGGUUCAGCUGAUUGUCUGUCUAAAGACAGAAUGAGAUGCUCAAGUUGUCCUCCUUCUGUUCAGGAGUGGGCCUAAACUAGAGAAAGGUCUUCAGGUUUUGCCAGAACCCUAUACCAUCUUAGCAGUAAGGAUGGAAAUGCAUUUUUACUGCGAUGCAUCAGUGUAACUCCUCAGGAGAUGCUUAAGUACAAGAUGUGCUUUUGAUUUAGCUUCUGUCUAAGUGAAAAUGACCUAAGAGAACCUGUGAAAAACCUAAUGUUACCAAGGAGUUCAGCCCCAAACGUGGAAGUAAAUCAGUAUAACCCUCUUGGUUUGCCUUUACCAGUCUGCCAGGCAGUCAUCUAUUUCUGUCUUGGCUUAGACUCUGCAGUCCAAACCCUGACACGUUCUGUGGGACAGCCUCCCUCUCAACCUCAGCCUUGUCUCCUGCAGUCAGGUGAUUAGAUGAGACUCUCUUUCAUGUAAGUACUUUUUUAUCUUUCUCAUCUGUGGAGGGAAGCCAGCACAUGUCAUCUUUAAAGGCAAGGAAAAUGGAACCAGCAUUUUGUAUUCCAGAAAUCUCAUUAUUUUUCAACUAAUAUGCUGAUUUUGGAUGCCGGGGUUUGGCAGAGACACUGAGGGUCAUUGCUGAACAAAGCAGAAGCGGGUCCAUCCUGGAGAAGCCUGCAUGGGUAAAAUAUGCAAUUUCUAUACCAGCGGAAAAUGCGAUUCUCCGGGUCAUGUCAGAGCGAGGCACUGUGGGUAGCUUCCCUCUGACUCAGGCUUGACGCUAGAUUUCACAAGAGGAAAAAGUGUGUUUAAGAAGUUACUUGAUACUGAUCUGUCCAGAGUGUUUUUCCCAGGCUGGAUUUAGGGAGGGAUUAUCUCAGAUUUUCAUUUAGUUCUGAAAUCCUGGGUAUUGGUUUUAUAAAUUAAACCCCCUUCACAGCAGGUCGCUUGUUCUGUAUUGUUGUUUUAGUUUGAUGCAUAGGGAGGAAUUUAAAUUUUCUGAAAGGACGGGGCUUGCUCCUUGCUGGGGUAAAGCAACAUAGUUCAAAUAUUUAAAGGCAGAUGCAUCAAUCCUGGCAGCUGAGGAUCUGGCUUACUUUGAUUAAAAUCUGAUCAAGAUUACUCAGCCUUACCAAGGGACUUGGAUUACCAUUCUAUAAAAAGAAGAGUAGGAGAGGAGAGGACAUUAAAUAUAAAAAUAAUCCAAUGAAGGACGUGAAGCUAAACUCACUGCAAAUUGAACAAUAAUGAAAACAUCCUACUGAAACAGGUGGAGGGCAGCAGUGCUGAUGGGCAAACGCGAGGCUUGAAGUUAAAAAUAUUGCUCUUGGGUUUCUCAUGGCCAUGGCCUAGUCUUUUAAAGGUAGAUUUAUUUUUUUAUUUUUUUAUUUUUUCAGAAGAGAGCCUUGCUCAUUAGAAAAUCCCCAGGGGAGCAUUGCAGGAGAUAUGGGUGACAAAUCCUUUGGAAAAAUCCUUGCCUCUGCUUCCUCAGGGGACCCAGGAUGGUGCCAAAUCUCACUCACAAAGAGGUGAUUGAAGCUGGGGAACAAAAAAAAAAUCAACUCUUACAGGGGGAAAAAAAAAAUGCUCAAAUGUCAGUGUCUGAACUGACCGUCAAGAGACCAAGGCAAGGACCAGCUGCUCCUCUCUCUGUCUCUGCGAGCAGGUGCCUGCAUACAUAUAGCCACAAACAGACACUUCAGAGCAGCAAGUGCUGGUGUGUCUGGGAAGGCGGCGAGGAGGGGGCUGGCCGCAGGAGACCACCUACCCACCCUCAAACAAAAUGAGCUGCUGCUGGGGGAUGUGGCCUGGGUGGACCUUGGUGGCCAGAAAUAGCUCCUGCAUCUCCAGGAGGCCGCAGAUGGAUAGAAAGGAACAGGGAGUCAAGCACCCCUGAAGUAAAUGGAAUAAAGGAUGCGCUGUGGCACGUGCUUACCUUCUCUCUUUGCUGAGCUGAAGCCCUGCAGGUAUGUAGGAUAUGUUAUCCACCGGGCUGACAGCACCUCCUGGGACUUGACCUCACCAGGUAAAUCAGAGAAUUCCCCAAAAUGGGUCUGGCCAGCUGGGCUGUGCUCACAUGGUGAAGGGAAGAUGGCUGUUUUCCAUUACCAGGGCUUUUGGCUGCCUUGAGGCUGGAAAUGGUAAUGACUGGGUCUGUGCAGGUCCUAAACGAGCCCAUGGACUGCCCGCUCUGCCCCUAUACAGCUUGUGGGGCCACUUCUCCUGCACGGGGGUCAGCGGAUGGGGCUGCGCUCAGCCUUGCCAGCUCCGUGACCUUUGCCUGGCCGCGUGCCGUGCUGGCCGCUAAUUGUUCCCACCCUGGGGAGCAGCGGUCAGCAAUGGGAAUUCCUGUCAAGAACGACUCCGGCUUCCACCCUGAAACAGCCUAAUUAGGGUCCCCUAAUUGGGGCACUGAAGGGAGCACUGUGCUCGCGCUGAGGCUGGGCAGGGUCUGGUGUGGAGCAGGAGCUGGUGGGCAGGGGGACAGGCUGGAGUGCUGCGAUUCAGCAGCCCGCUAAUGAUGUGCAAGUGGUACUGCUGCGAGCUCCCCAGGCUCCUCCUCUGCCUCGGGCUGCGUUCCUGGCACUUGCUGGCAGCAGCCUGCGAUGAAACAUCUUGCUGGAGGCUGAAGGCUCUGUCCAUGUGGCUGUGGGGGGAUCAGGAAGGGGGGAGAACUGCUCAGUGCAUCAGUGCUCCUCCUCGGAGCUGGGGAUGUCUCUUCUCUUUCAGGGAGUGUCUGGACAUGUCUGUAUGGACUCCUGAUGUGUGCAACACGGGGGGGGGUCAGGCCAGUGGUGUUAAUGCAGUGGGGCCUCAGCUUGGUCACUGGAAGAAAGGUGAGAAAAAAGCACACGGCCCACUUACAGAGGCUUGUCAAAGGCUAACGUGCCUUCCUGGCUGGCUCUCAUGUCAGACAAACAGGUCUAAAUCCUUCUCCCACUUGUACUGAGUGCGGUGGGAUCCAUGAGCUCGUAUCUCCUAUGGCUCCAUGGCUUGGGUUUAAGAUUCUCUGGUGUCUAGUAAGCUGCUUGUGCUGAAUGGAGCAUCUGCCCUUCCUGGGAUAUUUAUAACGGCUUGCUCUCCCACGCAGAAUGUCUGGUGUCUAAUAAUGGAUGAUACACUACGGUUUUGAAGGUACUAAUAAUUUCCAUCCUCUGUUUGACAGUCUGUUCCCCUGAAAUUUAUAGACUCUGCCUGUCUCCGAGACCUCUGUCUCUCUGUCAGGACAGGUUGAAAUCUGUUCUCGGUGCCAGGAGUUCCUGGGGAGUGGGCAGGGGGCAGGCUGAUGUGGCAGGACUGCGUAUGCUCCGCAUCCCAUAGGAACUCAGGCUAAAAAUGUGCCUGGCUCUGCUUCCUGCCACCCUGGGGGGUGGUAGUGGCUCUGGUUUCCCAAUUGUGAGUUUUAGGAAGGCAAGUGGGCUGUGUGGGAGCAAGGCAAACCUCCAGGAGACACGGGCUGCCGUGCUGCGGGCUGUUCAUGAGCCGCACUUGGUGUUCCCACUGCCGGAGGGGCCCGUGAGCAGCAGAGCACGGGCUCUGCGGGAACAGCCCCUGAGGACGACAAACGAGUGAGCGCGGAGCUGCUGGCCGGCGUGAAGAAUUGCCUGGCUGAAAGAUAAUGAAUGCCGCGGCAGGAGACAGAGCAUUUCUCUGGGGCCAUUCAUCCCCUUUAUCACCCCACUAACAAGCCCCAGAGCGGCUGGCACGGAGCAGCACCAUCCCUCACCGUGCUGGCGGCUGGGUGCCGGCGGUCAGGAGCACCGCACGUGGCUCUGCAGGGAGCCGCGGACCUCACCCCAAAUAGCAGCCCCUGGCACGGCUGUCAGCAGGAGCAGCCACACGCUGUGCUGGCAGGGAGGGUGGUCCCUCCUUUGGGACCCCUGUGGUGCCACCAGAGAGAUGCAGGUGUCAAAGCCCAGCACCCAGCUCUUUAAAGCACUUCUGGGCAGCGAGGACGCUGCAAUACCCUUUGGAGGAUUGCUCUGUCCCAGCUCCCAGCUUGUCUGAGACUUACAGGGUUAUUUAUACAGCCCGACAGGAGUUUGGGGCUGCUGGCUAGGAGGUAAGUCAGUUCUGCUUCACUUGCAGCUUGUGCACGAGCCUCGUGAGAGGAGGAGAGGGCAGGAGUGAUGCGCUCUUCCUAAGAGCUAAUAAAAGCUAAUUCCUCCCUUUGCUCCGAGACGGUGGGAAGCAUUAGUGGCUGGCUGAGUGCCUCCCGCGCUGCGGCAGCGUGCUGGGUGCCUCCUUCCUCCCGGCUGGGAGCAAAGCCUGUCCCCCCGCCGAGGGGAAGGCAGCUCAGCAAGAGCCGCGUGGUCUGCGGCUGCGUGAGCGGGCACCCGUGGCGCUGCCUGUAGCUGGCAGCCCUCCUGCCAAGGUAAACUAGCCAAAUAACCCAGACAGGUGGCCAAGGGAGUGCAGGCGGUGGCCCCGUGGGCAAUUUCCCAGUUGUGAGUGAGCUCCUCUACCUCUGCUGCAGGGUUUGGGGUGGGAAAAGCACUGUUCCUGACCCCGCUGGUGUAUGAGAGGGCACGUGGGCAUGCAGCAGGGCUGGUUACCAGCAAUUGGAAGGUCUCUUUUUUUCUUUUCCCUCCUGCCUCCAUAUCCUUAGUUUCUCCUUUCCUUCCCAGUGUAAGGUGCAUUUUUUUA
This is a long non-coding RNA of Anas platyrhynchos (mallard), 10355 nucleotides long. RefSeq lists it as uncharacterized. Lineage: Eukaryota; Metazoa; Chordata; Aves; Anseriformes; Anatidae. The record is from RefSeq and is a predicted model, not a curated record.